RNAcentral lists this ribosomal RNA (442 nucleotides) under uncultured bacterium. Its description in RNAcentral is "partial 16S ribosomal RNA". It matches the Rfam family "Bacterial small subunit ribosomal RNA", at positions 338 to 795 of the family's 1533-position model. The record is from RNAcentral.
CCUACGGGAGGCAGCAGUAGGGAAUCUUUCACAAUGGGCGAAAGCCUGAUGGAGCAACGCCGCGUGCAGGAUGAAGGCCUUCGGGUUGUAAACUGCUUUUAUAAGCGAGAAAUAUGAUGGUAACUUAUGAAUAAGGAUCGGCUAACUACGUGCCAGCAGCCGCGGUCGUACGUAGGAUCCGAGCAUUAUCCGGAGUGACUGGGUGUAAAGAGUUGCGUAGGUGGCAUAAUAAGUAGCUAGUGAAAUCUGGUGGCUCAACCAUUCAGACUAUUAGCUAAACUGUUAAGCUCGAGACCGUUAGGGGUAACUGGAAUUUCUAGUGUAGGAGUGAAAUCCGUAGAUAUUAGAAGGAACACCAAUAGCGUAGGCAGGUUGCUGGGACGGUUCUGACACUAAGGCACGAAAGCGUAGGGAGCAAACGGGAUUAGAUACCCGAGUAGUC